Molecule: ribosomal RNA, 460 nt
Filed under: uncultured bacterium
Lineage: Bacteria
Description: partial 16S ribosomal RNA
Rfam family: Bacterial small subunit ribosomal RNA
Source: RNAcentral
CCUACGGGAGGCAGCAGUGAGGAAUAUUGGUCAAUGGGCGGGAGCCUGAACCAGCCAAGUCGCGUGAGGGAAGACGGUCCUACGGAUUGUAAACCUCUUUUGCCGGGGAGCAACGGGGUCCUUGCGAGGGCCCGAUGAGAGUACCCGGAGAAAAAGCAUCGGCUAACUCCGUGCCAGCAGCCGCGGUAAUACGGAGGAUGCGAGCGUUAUCCGGAUUUAUUGGGUUUAAAGGGUGCGUAGGCGGGCUGUUAAGUCAGUGGUCAAAUUGAGGGGCUCAACCCCUUCCCGCCAUUGAAACUGGCGUUCUUGAGUGGAAGAGAAGUAUGCGGAAUGCGUGGUGUAGCGGUGAAAUGCAUAGAUAUCACGCAGAACCCCGAUUGCGAAGGCAGCAUGCCGGCUUCCGACUGACGCUGAAGCACGAAAGCGUGGGGAUCGAACAGGAUUAGAUACCCGUGUAGUC